RNAcentral lists this ribosomal RNA (402 nucleotides) under uncultured bacterium. RNAcentral's name for it is "bacterial SSU rRNA". It matches the Rfam family "Bacterial small subunit ribosomal RNA", at positions 355 to 774 of the family's 1533-position model. The record is from RNAcentral.
UCGGGAAUUUUGGGCAAUGGGCGAAAGCCUGACCCAGCAACGCCGCGUGAGGGAUGAAGUAUUUCGGUAUGUAAACCUCGAAAGAAUGGGAAGAAUAAAUGACGGUACCAUUUAUAAGCUCCGGCUAACUACGUGCCAGCAGCCGCGGUAAUACGUAGGGAGCAAGCGUUGUUCGGAUUUACUGGGCGUAAAGGGCGCGUAGGCGGCGCGGUAAGUCACUUGUGAAAUCUCUGAGCUUAACUCAGAACGGCCAAGUGAUACUGCUGUGCUAGAGUGCGGAAGAGGCAACCGGAAUUCUUGGUGUAGCGGUGAAAUGGGUAGAUAUCAAGAGGAACACCUGAGGCGAAGGCGGGUUGCUGGGCCGACACUGACGCUGAUGCGCGAAAGCCAGGGGAGCAAACG